CGGGGCUCAUCUCUGUGUGGAUAUGCGGCGGCCAGCGUCUCACGAGCAGACUGUGAUAACGGAGAGUAGUGAAGUUUGAGCAGGUGGAAACCAUGGCAGCUCCUUUCAGAUCAAGCUUGUGGAAGACUAUCCGAGAUACCUCAAAUCUUUUGAGCUAUUUCUGGAGCGCUCAUUCAUAAUACUCUACCAGACAUACUGGCAAGCGUUGGAGGGGGGAGAUCUGUUUUCAAUGUAAUGGGAGUAGGGAGUGGAGCAGGUGAGAUUGAUCUAGAGAUGCUAGCACAGCUACACCUGAAACAUCCACAGGGCAAAGUCGACAAUGAAAUGGUUGAUCCAACCAAUGACAUGCUGUAUAAAUAUAAAUGUACCAGUCAUUUUAUCAAAGCUCGUAUAAGCUAACCAUAUAUGCUUUUACUAAUUCUACCAAUAAAUGCCUUUUUGUCCUGUUCUCUAUCUGUUUAGUUCGAGUGUCAACAACUCCAGAUCUUGAUUAUGUAAACUUUACAUGGAAUAAAAUGACAGCACCUGAAUUUGAAAAACAAUUGACAAGAGAAAAACCCUGGGAAAAAGAUGGCCUUCGUUCACAUGAUUCAGAUGCCAUACUAUGUCAAAGAUCCAUUGGCUACUGUCUCAUUUUUUCGGAGUCUUCUACAUAAAGAUGGGAAACUGUUAAUCAUGGUGUCAGGUACAGUAAAUUCUGUUCAAGUUCAAAACUUC
Long non-coding RNA from Carassius auratus (goldfish), 717 nucleotides. RefSeq lists it as uncharacterized. The record is from RefSeq and is a predicted model, not a curated record. NCBI's taxonomy places the organism in Eukaryota, Metazoa, Chordata, Actinopteri, Cypriniformes, Cyprinidae. The transcript is spliced from 5 exons.